CAUUACCGAAUUGUCAACAAGAGUUGUUGCUGGUCCUCAAAUGGGGACAUGUGCACACUCUGUUCACACAUCCACUCACACCCUGUGCACCCUCCGUGGUUCUAUGGUCAGGGGGCCUGUCCUCCUGCUGUGGUUCUGCGUCUUUACACACACACUGUAACAAAGUCUCAUGGAAUGCAUGCCGCGUUUAACGCAAUACAAUACAACUUUCAGCAACGGAUCUCUUGGCUCUCGCAUCGAUGAAGAACGCAGCGAAAUGCGAUAAGUAAUGUGAAUUGCAGAAUUCAGUGAAUCAUCGAAUCUUUGAACGCACCUUGCGCCCUUUGGACAUUCCGAAGGGCAUGCCUGUUUGAGUAUCAUGAACACCUCAACUCUUCAUGGUUUUCCAUGAUGAGCUUGGACUUUGGGGGGUUUUGCUGGCUUACAGUCAGCUCCUCUAAAAUAAAUCAGCUUGCCAGUGUUUGGUGGGUAUCGCAGGUGUGAUAACUAUCUACGCUUGUGGUUUUUCACCAGGUAACCUUCAGCAGUGGAGGUUCAUUGGAGCUCACAGACAUGUCUCUCCUCAGUGAGGACAGCCCUUUGAAUGUUUG
RNAcentral lists this ribosomal RNA (590 nucleotides) under uncultured fungus. Its description in RNAcentral is "eukaryotic LSU rRNA". The stretch from base 205 to 359 matches the Rfam family "5.8S ribosomal RNA". Lineage: Eukaryota; Fungi. The record is from RNAcentral.